UACGUAGGGUGCAAGCGUUAAUCGGAAUUACUGGGCGUAAAGCGUGCGCAGGCGGUUUUGUAAGUCUGUCGUGAAAGCCCCCGGGCUCAACCUGGGAAUUGCGAUGGAGACUGCAAGGCUUGAAUCUGGCAGAGGGGGGGUAGAAUUCCACGUGUAGCAGUGAAAUGCGUAGAGAUGUGGAGGAACACCGAUGGCGAAGGCAGCCCCCUGGGUCAAGAUUGACGCUCAUGCACGAAAGCGUGGGGAGCAAACAGG
This 255-nucleotide ribosomal RNA is filed under the name uncultured bacterium. RNAcentral describes it as "partial 16S ribosomal RNA". It matches the Rfam family "Bacterial small subunit ribosomal RNA", at positions 524 to 776 of the family's 1533-position model. The record is from RNAcentral.